AGAGUUUGAUCCUGGCUCAGAACGAACGCUGGCGGCAGGCUUAACACAUGCAAGUCGAACGCACCUUCGGGUGAGUGGCAGACGGGUGAGUAACGCGUGGGAACGUGCCCUUCAGUUCGGAAUAACCCAGGGAAACUUGGGCUAAUACCGGAUACGUGCGAGAGCAGAAAGAUUUAUCGCUGAAGGAUCGGCCCGCGUCUGAUUAGCUAGUUGGUGGGGUAAUGGCCCACCAAGGCGACGAUCAGUAGCUGGUCUGAGAGGAUGAUCAGCCACAUUGGGACUGAGACACGGCCCAAACUCCUACGGGAGGCAGCAGUGGGGAAUAUUGGACAAUGGGCGCAAGCCUGAUCCAGCCAUGCCGCGUGAGUGAUGAAGGCCUUAGGGUUGUAAAGCUCUUUCGGCGGGGACGAUAAUGACGGUACCCGCAGAAGAAGCCCCGGCUAACUUCGUGCCAGCAGCCGCGGUAAUACGAAGGGGGCUAGCGUUGUUCGGAAUCACUGGGCGUAAAGGGCGCGUAGGCGGCUUGAUAAGUCGGGGGUGAAAGCCUGUGGCUCAACCACAGAAUUGCCUUCGAUACUGUCUGGCUUGAGACCGGAAGAGGUAAGUGGAACUGCGAGUGUAGAGGUGAAAUUCGUAGAUAUUCGCAAGAACACCAGUGGCGAAGGCGGCUUACUGGUCCGGUUCUGAGCUGAGGCGCGAAAGCGUGGGGAGCAAACAGGAUUAGAUACCCUAGUAGUCC
Molecule: ribosomal RNA, 739 nt
Filed under: uncultured bacterium
Lineage: Bacteria
Description: bacterial SSU rRNA
Rfam family: Bacterial small subunit ribosomal RNA
Source: RNAcentral